UUUCCGUAGGUGAACCUGCGGAAGGAUCAUUAUCGUAGAAAAUGUAGGGGGCACGCGAGGUCUGUCGCUGACCUAACAGUCGUGCACGCCCGAGUGCGUCCUCUUGCAUAAUAAUCCAUCGCACCCUUUGUGCACCACCGCGUGUUAACCCUUCCGCAUGAACUCGGAGGGGGGCUCGAGUUUUCACACAAACUCUCCUUUUAUAUGUGUAGAAUGACCAAAUUUAUGCAUUAAUUACAACUUUCAACAACGGAUCUCUUGGUUCUC
RNAcentral lists this unclassified non-coding RNA (267 nucleotides) under plant metagenome. Its description in RNAcentral is "partial contains small subunit ribosomal RNA, internal transcribed spacer 1, and 5.8S ribosomal RNA". The record is from RNAcentral.